Poecilia formosa (Amazon molly) is the source of this 114-nucleotide non-coding RNA. Lineage: Eukaryota; Metazoa; Chordata; Actinopteri; Cyprinodontiformes; Poeciliidae. The record is from Rfam.
UUUAGCUACGGAGACAUGGUCCCGAAGACAAUUGCUGGAAAGAUCUUUGGCUCCAUCUGCUCCCUGAGCGGCGUGCUGGUGAUUGCUCUUCCCGUCCCUGUCAUCGUGUCCAAC